RNAcentral lists this unclassified non-coding RNA (332 nucleotides) under soil metagenome. RNAcentral describes it as "partial contains 5.8S ribosomal RNA, internal transcribed spacer 2, and large subunit ribosomal RNA". The stretch from base 1 to 120 matches the Rfam family "5.8S ribosomal RNA", at positions 35 to 154 of the family's 154-position model. The record is from RNAcentral.
GAUGAAGAACGCAGCGAAAUGCGAUAAGUAAUGUGAAUUGCAGAAUUCAGUGAAUCAUCGAAUCUUUGAACGCACCUUGCGCUCCUUGGUAUUCCGAGGAGCAUGCCUGUUCGAGCGUCAUUUAAACCUUCAAGCUAAGCUUGGUGUUGGGUGACUGUCCGCUUCACGGCGGACUCGCCUCAAAAUUAUUGGCGGCCGGUACAUUGGCUUCGAGCGCAGCAGAAACGCGAACUCGGGCCCGUCGUAUUGGCUCCCAGAAGCUAUCUUCACAAUUUUGACCUCGGAUCAGGUAGGGAUACCCGCUGAACUUAAGCAUAUCAAUAAGCGGAGGA